GUCCGGGUCAUCAUUUCAGUAUUUCUCACCUCUUUCCAUUUUUCUCUCCCCUCUCUCUCUACACGGGUGAAAGCGUCAUCGUCUCCUUCCUCGACCCUGCCGCCCCAUCUGCGGCGCCAGGCCCUCUCCUCAUCCGGCGGCAUGCAGGCCGCGGCUAGGACGGCUCGGGAGGCCACGGAGACGGCAGCCGACUACAUCAAGCAGGCGGCCGCGAGGGCUAAGGACGCCUCUGCCGGGGCGACCGGAACGACCGCGGAGUACUCGAAGCAGGCUGCGGCGAAGGCCAGGGACGCGAUGCUGAGCACCGGCGAGGCGGCGACCGAGUACGCGAAGCAGGCAGCGGCGAAGGGCACGGGCGGGACGGGGAGCCCCUCGCGCUCUCGCCCGCGCAGGAGGCGCCCAUCCUCCUCCCUCCACCGCCCUCCCUCAAGCCAUUGACCUCCCGCCCUUCUCCUCCCUCCACCAUCCUCCCUCAAGCAGGCGAGCCCCCACCCUCCCCCCUCACACAAGCUGACUCCCCGCCCUUCUCCAUGGAUUUGUUUGAUGCUCUCCCGUUUUCUCAUUGCAACAAACUGAAUUUGAGGAUUUUUUUUCCUAGGGAUUUUUCAGCAGAGAUGUGGUGAGAUUCAGUUGGUGGCGGAGGAGCAGAUUCACAAGAAGGCGGAAAAUGAGGGAGAAACCCAAAUCGAGUGGGACGAAGAGAAGGAGUCCUCUGUGAACAAAGGCAAAGGCAAGUCUCGAUUCCGUCAUCCUGCUAUCAGGGGCGCCAAUGAUCCAUGGCGGAUCGAGAAGAUCUCAAGGAGUGUCGAUCUGCUUCCCAUUCUUUUUUCGGCUCAAUUGUUACAAUGCCAAGGGGCCAAAAUCAGCAACAAGGGCGUCCUCAACCAUCCAAUGAGGUUCCAAAAUUAUUCAGCAAGGGGUAUCAAGUACAAAGCAUGAAGCAGAUAUGAUGUGCAGUAUGAACCGGGUCAAAUAAAUAAUUACAUAUGUAGUGAGAGCAAGUACAUUAUUUUUUGUUAGUUAGUGAUGUUGCUUAUAGUUAGUCAAAAGUACUCUCAAUCACUGGCAGAACCAGAUAUAAUAAACUGAGAUCUGCACCAUUAUAUGAUUCGGAUCUACAGGCACAUAUAUUUAACCAAAAUAAUAAAUAGAUCAUGUUUUCACCCCUUAA
This is a long non-coding RNA of Panicum virgatum (switchgrass), 1171 nucleotides long. RefSeq lists it as uncharacterized. Lineage: Eukaryota; Viridiplantae; Streptophyta; Magnoliopsida; Poales; Poaceae. The record is from RefSeq and is a predicted model, not a curated record. The transcript is spliced from 4 exons.